RNAcentral lists this long non-coding RNA (295 nucleotides) under Numida meleagris (helmeted guineafowl). RNAcentral's name for it is "lncRNA (ENSNMEG00000017878.1)". The record is from RNAcentral. Lineage: Eukaryota; Metazoa; Chordata; Aves; Galliformes; Numididae.
GGGGUGCAGUGAGAGAGGUUAAAAAAAAAUAAAUCCUGUAGCACUUAAAAGUGUUGUUCUGCUAGAAUGUAUUCAUUGGAAGAGAAUACUUAUUGAAGAACAAGUGGAGAAAUUUUCACUAAUUCUGCUUUGGUCUAGAUCCAUGUUCCACUGGGAAGAGCAGGUGUUGGUAACUACAUAUGUUUUCAAGAAAUAUAUGCAAGAGCCAAGGAACAGCAAAGCAGAACUGUGGUGUUAAAGAUGGAGGCUGAAGAAUUUCCAAGAAAAUAAAAGAUUUAUUGAGAAGCUGUUCUCA